This 286-nucleotide ribosomal RNA is filed under the name Lachnospiraceae bacterium. RNAcentral's name for it is "partial 23S ribosomal RNA". It matches the Rfam family "Bacterial large subunit ribosomal RNA", at positions 2637 to 2925 of the family's 2925-position model. Lineage: Bacteria; Bacillati; Bacillota; Clostridia; Lachnospirales; Lachnospiraceae. The record is from RNAcentral.
CCUAUCCGGCGCAGGCGCAGGACGUUUGAGGGGAGCCGUCCUUAGUACGAGAGGACCGGGACGGACGGACCUCCGGUGCAUCAGUUGGGAAUCAGUCCCAUGGCUGAGUAGCCGUGUCCGGCCGGGAUAAACGCUGAAGGCAUCUAAGCGUGAAGCCCCCCCCGAGAUGAGACGUCCCAUUCGAAAGAAGAAAGGCCCCUUGAAGAACACGAGGUGGAUAGGGCGGGAGUGUAAGCGCGGCAACGCGUUCAGCCGACCGUCACUAAUAGGCCGAGGGCUUAACCAU